This 310-nucleotide long non-coding RNA is filed under the name Physcomitrium patens. Its description in RNAcentral is "long non-coding RNA (PPAT_LNC005764)". The record is from RNAcentral. Lineage: Eukaryota; Viridiplantae; Streptophyta; Bryopsida; Funariales; Funariaceae.
AAUAGCAAACAAUCAUGUAUGACUUCUAUAUGUACACGUUUAGUUUUUUUAACUAAUGAUAUUUCUUAUUUUUUGACAAAAUCUUUAUUUAUAAAAUAGGCUAAGGCUCUUGAAUCUAACAAAGCUAAGACUUUGUGAUUUUUUGGUCCCAAAUAAACUUCUAUUGUAAAACAAGAUGAAAGAUUUGAGGAGAAAAUAGGACCUUUAUUAGGAAUUAUAGAAGAUUUUAGCAGUAUGAUUCCUAUUGUAGCAAGAUAAACUUGUUUUUUGAUACAUUGGCUUCUUUGGCAACUGUGAUUGUCGUUUUACU